AUGAAGUGUAAUUGGACAAGGGAUAUUUCCAAGGUUCUUGGUGUGGAGAGUACAGUGACGCAACAGGAAAUAAAGAAGGCGUAUCAUAAGUUGACGUUGAGGCUUCAUCCUGAUAAGAACCCUGGUGAUGAGGAAGCUAAAGCCAAGUUUCAGCAAUUGCAAAGUGUCAUCUCAAUUCUUGGAGAUGAACAAAAGCGGGCAAUGUAUGAUCAGACUGGUUCUGUUGAACACGCUGUAAGUAGUUCAACAUUUCCACCUGAUAAUUUAGCAUCGUAA
Molecule: non-coding RNA, 276 nt
Organism: Vicia faba (fava bean)
Lineage: Eukaryota; Viridiplantae; Streptophyta; Magnoliopsida; Fabales; Fabaceae
Source: the annotation of a GenBank genome assembly